This 342-nucleotide ribosomal RNA is filed under the name uncultured bacterium. Its description in RNAcentral is "partial 16S ribosomal RNA". It matches the Rfam family "Bacterial small subunit ribosomal RNA", at positions 338 to 697 of the family's 1533-position model. The record is from RNAcentral.
CCUACGGGAGGCAGCAGUGGGGAAUAUUGCACAAUGGGGGAAACCCUGAUGCAGCGACGCCGCGUGAGUGAAGAAGUAAUUCGUUACGUAAAGCUCUAUCAGCAGGGAAGAAAAGGACGGUACCUGAGGAAGAAUACCCGGCGACCUACGAGACAACAGCCGCGGGAAUACGUAGGGGGCAAGCGUUUUCCGGAUUGACCGGGGGUAAAGGGAGCGUAGACGUUGAGCUAAGUCUGGAGUGAAAUGACGCCGCUUAACGGCGGAACUGCUUUGGAAACGGGCGAACUAGAGUGCGGGAGUGGUCAGCGGAUUUCCUCGUGUAGCGGUGACAUGCGUCGUUCU